Molecule: antisense RNA, 69 nt
Filed under: Actinosynnema mirum DSM 43827
Lineage: Bacteria; Bacillati; Actinomycetota; Actinomycetes; Pseudonocardiales; Pseudonocardiaceae
Description: ASpks TB sRNA
Rfam family: ASpks TB sRNA
Source: Rfam by way of RNAcentral
CUUGAUCGACCCGAGCAGCAGGGGGUGCUCGCGGUCCUGGCCGUAGGUGGCGAGCACGGCCUGCGCCUC